AAGCAGCUAAACACACAAAAAUACGCCUAAAAAAUCUGAAAAAACCAGCAGCGCGGUUUUUCAUAUACACGACCCCACCCCUCCCCUGUCCUUCAUCUUCUUCAUCAACUUGUAGGCAGCCAUCAACUCCAAUUCCAACAACAACAUCACAGCAGCCCUUCACCAGCUCAACGAACACAGCCGUCUUCCCCAAACACCCUCGCCCUAGAAGUCAGUUGCCAAGCUUCACCACGAUUCCGCAGAAAUUCGUCCCACCCAAAACACCACCCCUUUUGCGCCAAAAGCCAGCAGUGAGAAGCUCCAUGACUAGUCAAAAAUCUGGCCAAAAAGAAGUCGAAACUCAACCAAAAAAACAGCAACGAAAAGGUACCAAACAGUCCCAAAAUUAGCUCUAAACCCCAGCGAAAAGCAGCCCUGUUUUCUAGUUGAAACUCAAAAUCAGCCCGAAAUCAUCAUCCAAAAUCGUGUCGAUCUGAGUCCGUCCGAGGCGGCGAGCCGUUGGUGCUUCCGGGUCGGGAUGCGGGUGCAAAUCCGGUUUCGUUAUUGGAAGGGCAGAAUUGCAAUGAUGCUGUGAACAAGUUGGCACGCUAGUUCUCAUAAGCUUGUUGUUGAGUUGCAUUGACGACUUGAGGUGUAGGAGACAGGCUGACGGUCCCCCUUCUUAGGAUCCUUGCUCAGGGAGAGUUGGUGUGCUCCAUUUAAGCCGGAGCUGCUAUUAGAUUUUGUUUUGUGCAGAUCCAGGUGCCUCAGAUCAUGGUAGGCACUAGAGAAUCGAGUCAGAGUUGUGGAGACUUCAAGGUAUACGUGAUAUUCCGCUCGCAAGCAUCUGAGUCACCUUUUAUUGUUUCCUUAUUGCUGUUUAUUGUAUUCCAAAAGUGUUGUAUUUUGUUUCUUAUGUACUCUUUAUAGAGCUUAUGACUCUGUAUUACGAGUUCUGGUAUGUAUGACUAAUGUAUUUUCGUUUUGGUCAAGUUAUGGUACUUUU
Nicotiana attenuata is the source of this 985-nucleotide long non-coding RNA. RefSeq lists it as uncharacterized. The transcript has 4 exons. NCBI's taxonomy places the organism in Eukaryota, Viridiplantae, Streptophyta, Magnoliopsida, Solanales, Solanaceae. The record is from RefSeq and is a predicted model, not a curated record.